UGACAGGCGUGAAGUGCUGUCUUCCAGGUUCAGCCCACAGCGGCCAGUGAAACAGAAAAUCCCUGCCUGGGCCUGCCGGGCAGGCAGUGCCCGGGCCCCAUGCCCCAGGGCCAGGCCAUACUCGGGAAGGGGCCACUCUGUGAGCGGAAGAGGCUGGGUGUUUGGCCCCCAGGCCCCGCUGUGUGGCCCCAGGCAGGUCACUUCCCCUCUGUCAAAUGGGGACAGUGACACAGCCCUGGCUUCCUAGAUCUGUGACAAAGACACAUGGUGGGGUGUAAAUGUCCAGGCUGGGGUGCAGCUCAGUGGUGAGUGCUUGCCUGGCAGGUGGGGCUCCUGGGUUCCAGCCUCAUCCUGAAAAAGGGAAGGAAAGAAGGACGAAGAGAAAGAAAGACAGGGAGAGAGAAAAGAAAAGAGAAGAAAGAAAAGGAAAGGAAAGAACAGGGCGUGGUGGCACAUGCUAAUAAUCCCAGCAAUUGGGAGGCCAGGGCAGGAGGAUCAUUUCAAGUUCAAGUCCAGCCUGGGCUACAUAGCAAGAUGCUGUCACCAAACCAAACUUCACCUUUUUUUUUUUUUGGUACUGGGGAUUGAACUCCGGACCUCGCGGUUGUGAGGCAGGCAGCAGAACCACUGAGCUAAAUCCCUGGCCCCACCAAACCAAACUAAACCAAACCACAAUGAAAGAAAGGAAGGAAGGAAGGAAGGAAGGAAGGAAGAAAAGCUCAAACCAAUGACUCACAGGCAAAUUCCAGCGGUGAGCUGUUUGCACUGCGUUCUUGGUUCCCGGCUAAACCUCUCUGAGCCUCAGCCUCUGUUUCAGAGACCAACUGAGUAUUACCAACCGCGGCUCUUGGGCGGACUGGGGGUGACAGUGUGCCCAGCACACCGUAGGAACUGUACAAGUAGCUCUACUCCUCCCUGAGACCCACGGCAGCUUCUGACCCACACUCAGUGGCCACCAUUGCCUCCCUUCAAGCCACGAGCUCCGCCCCUCCAGGUCUCUCAAUCCCGGGCUUCGGGCUGAAGUGAGACCAUUGUCCCAGCCAGGAAUGAGGAGGUGCUGGGAAGCUGGCAAUAUCCAGGCUGUGUUUUGAAGGAUGCAUAGGAGUCCCCAGGCGAUAGAAGAAACAAGGCUGUGGUGGCCAGAGGGGAUGAAUGAGCAAAGGGUUGGAGUGCAGAGGAGGAGGGGAGCCAGGCCUAGUCAGGUGGGACCUGGCUUAUCCUUCGGACCCCAGGAAGUGGGGUGGGGCUCCAGCCUGCAGGCAGCCCCUCCCCAGAAGUCCUCCUGUCCCUUCGGGGCCAGCACAUCCAGGCCAGGAGAGCGGAG
This 1324-nucleotide long non-coding RNA is filed under the name Heterocephalus glaber (naked mole-rat). RNAcentral describes it as "lncRNA (ENSHGLG00100037617.1)". The record is from RNAcentral. Lineage: Eukaryota; Metazoa; Chordata; Mammalia; Rodentia; Bathyergidae.